GGGUGUGGCUCAGCGGUAGAGCACUUGCCUAGCAUAUGUUAGGCCCUGGGUUCGAUCCUCAACACCACA
This 69-nucleotide transfer RNA is filed under the name Marmota monax (woodchuck). Its description in RNAcentral is "tRNA.Ala". The record is from RNAcentral. Lineage: Eukaryota; Metazoa; Chordata; Mammalia; Rodentia; Sciuridae.